CGAUGUCUACUAGUUGUCGGGUUUUAAUUAACUUGGUAACGCAGCUAACGCGUGAAGUAGACCGCCUGGGGAGUACGGUCGCAAGAUUAAAACUCAAAGGAAUUGACGGGGACCCGCACAAGCGGUGGAUGAUGUGGAUUAAUUCGAUGCAACGCGAAAAACCUUACCUACCCUUGACAUGUACGGAAGCCACGAGAGAUCGAGGUGUGCUCGAAAGAGAACCGUAACACAGGUGCUGCAUGGCUGUCGUCAGCUCGUGUCGUGAGAUGUUGGGUUAAGUCCCGCAACGAGCGCAACCCUUGUCAUUAGUUGCUACAUUUAGUUGAGCACUCUAAUGAGACUGCCGGUGACAAACCGGAGGAAGGUGGGGAUGACGUCAAGUCCUCAUGGCCCUUAUGGGUAGGGCUUCACACGUCAUACAAUGGUACAUACAGAGGGCCGCCAACCCGCGAGGGGGAGCUAAUCCCAGAAAGUGUAUCGUAGUCCGGAUCGCAGUCUGCAACUCGACUGCGUGAAGUUGGAAUCGCUAGUAAUCGCGGAUCAGCAUGUCGCGGUGAAUACGUUCCCGGGUCUUGUACACACCGCCCGUCACACCAUGGGAGCGGGUUUUACCAGAAGUAGGUAGCUUAACCGUAAGGAGGGCGCUUACCACGGUAGGAUUCGUGACUGGGGUGAAGUCGUAACAAGGUAACC
This 693-nucleotide ribosomal RNA is filed under the name uncultured bacterium. RNAcentral describes it as "bacterial SSU rRNA". It matches the Rfam family "Bacterial small subunit ribosomal RNA", at positions 807 to 1501 of the family's 1533-position model. The record is from RNAcentral.